Molecule: ribosomal RNA, 242 nt
Filed under: uncultured Planctomycetales bacterium
Lineage: Bacteria; Pseudomonadati; Planctomycetota; Planctomycetia; Planctomycetales
Description: partial 16S ribosomal RNA
Rfam family: Bacterial small subunit ribosomal RNA
Source: RNAcentral
GGAGUUAAGAAAUGUAAGUGCGCUAAUAUCGCAUUUAUUUGACGAAGGCUCCAAAGGAAGUCACGGCUAACUCUGUGCCAGCAGCCGCGGUAAUACAGAGGUGGCAAGCGUUGUUCGGAAUUAUUGGGCGUAAAGAGCACGUAGGUGGGUUUGUAAGUCAGAUGUGAAAGCCUUCUGUUCAACGGAAGAAUUGCAUCUGAAACUGCGAGUCUUGAGUGUAGGAGGGGAGAGUGGAACUUCUG